GCCCGGAUGGCGGAACUGGUAGACGCAAGGGACUUAAAAUCCCUCGGACGCAAGUCUGUACGAGUUCGAUUCUCGUUCCGGGUA
RNAcentral lists this transfer RNA (84 nucleotides) under Desulfoluna spongiiphila. It matches the Rfam family "tRNA". Rfam says of the family: Transfer RNA (tRNA) molecules are approximately 80 nucleotides in length. Their secondary structure includes four short double-helical elements and three loops (D, anti-codon, and T loops). Further hydrogen bonds mediate the characteristic L-shaped molecular structure. tRNAs have two regions of fundamental functional importance: the anti-codon, which is responsible for specific mRNA codon recognition, and the 3' end, to which the tRNAs corresponding amino acid is attached (by aminoacyl-tRNA synthetases). tRNAs cope with the degeneracy of the genetic code in two manners: having more than one tRNA (with a specific anti-codon) for a particular amino acid; and 'wobble' base-pairing, i.e. permitting non-standard base-pairing at the 3rd anti-codon position. The record is from Rfam by way of RNAcentral. Lineage: Bacteria; Pseudomonadati; Thermodesulfobacteriota; Desulfobacteria; Desulfobacterales; Desulfolunaceae.